Long non-coding RNA from Eucalyptus grandis, 920 nucleotides. RefSeq lists it as uncharacterized. The record is from RefSeq and is a predicted model, not a curated record. The transcript has 2 exons. NCBI's taxonomy places the organism in Eukaryota, Viridiplantae, Streptophyta, Magnoliopsida, Myrtales, Myrtaceae.
GGUAGACGCUCUCUUUCAGUUGCUGGAAACGACGGAGGCUUGGUGGCGUUGGGUCGAAGGCUCUAUGGCACGAGCUUCUUUCUGAAGAAGGGGUCGUCGGAGAAAAACAGACACGAAUGUUGGCGUCCCUGUCGACGUCGUCGUCGUCCUCCGUACUGGCAUUGUCAUCUUCUUGGUUGCCCACACGCCAAUUUCGUCUCUCCCAUUCCUCCUCCUCCUAUGCAGAUGCUGCCUCCGUCCAUUGAGAUGAUAAGUUUGAGCAUCACCCAUCAACAAGCCCUUUAUUCUUGCCUAGUGUUUAAAAUUUGUUGCCCUUACUGUUGGGACGAUUUGUUGCCCUUGAUUCCAGGCAACGAACAUUCCAGUUCCGGAUCCUUUUUCCUCGCCGCCGUCAAACGUCGUUCGGCUUUGCUGGUUGCCAUUAGCCUUUGGGUCUAGGGAGGGCCCCCCAUUACAAAUCUGGCAGUUCUAGAGAAGCAUGUGGUGGCCGGUAAUGCAGAACUCAGCAAGAUUGACUGUUCCCCGAGGGCCGAGUAUAGCAUGUAGCAAUGCAAAGGCUAUUGAGUGGGAUGCUGCAUGGUUGAAUAACGUUGAUCCUUUUGGUAGGGCUGCAGUCAGGGUUCACCUUUCACCUUUUGACAAGCAUGUGACGGCCAGUAAUGCCGGAAUGAUGCAUUCGGAAAUUGGAGGGGGCGCAAAGAGUAUGAUGGAAUUUAAUGCUCCGGGACUGGCAAUCCAGAACUAGAAUUUGCUUUUCUAUGGAUGGUAGUACUACGCCACCUUCAUUUUGCAAGCUUUACUAGUCAACUCAUGUCAACAUUAUGUAAAUAGUUGUGUUCUAGUGAUUUUUCCUAUAUAUAUGUGCUUGUGUGGUUAUUGUUAAGCAAAAUUAAGAGAAGAAACUAGAUCCAGCUUGUAAA